Belonocnema kinseyi is the source of this 713-nucleotide RNA transcript. RefSeq lists it as uncharacterized. Lineage: Eukaryota; Metazoa; Arthropoda; Insecta; Hymenoptera; Cynipidae. The record is from RefSeq and is a predicted model, not a curated record. The transcript is spliced from 4 exons.
CGCUCUAACGGUCAUGCGCCUUUACAUAAGCUCUUGAGUACAUACACAACACAAACAGUGGCCAAACGGGAACACAUGCGGCGGAAAAUUUGCGGGAUGCAAAAUUUGCUUCGGAUACAUUUAUGGAAACUGCAUAACACCACCGCCACAAUCGCGACGGUGUGUCACGGCAAUUGUUACGAGCGCGUAGACAUGCAGAUGCGAUCGAAGGAAAAUUAUGCUAACGAAAACGAGUCGAUCUACUUGAGACAGAUAGUGAUUACAACUGUAUUUCAAAGAUGCCAAGCUUCAAGAUUGCGGGACUUACUCGAUCCGAUUGAGGUCACGAAACGUUCCAGAACGUUUAGGAACAUGCAUACGAGGAAUUUAAUAAAUUGCAAGGUCUGGAAUCGAAUUUCGAUUAUUGAAUUUAAACGUUAUAUCAAACUGUGAAGGCUCGCAAUCGUUGCAAAUUCGGUCAACCUUGAUUUGCAAGGACCUUUGCAUUCGUCGUCUGCUACAUCAACAAGAAACUCUGUCUUCGACGUAAUCCUACAUGGGAGGAUAUGCUGCGGAAAUCAAAUGUCUGUAUUUUGAUUCACUACUUUCUCAGUGUUACGAAAAAGCAGGCAAAUAAGUCAACAGCAGGAAUUUGGAUCGGAAUCAGGAUAUGGAAAUCGUAAAAAGUAGAAUCUAUAUUGAUAUCAAUAAUAAUAUUAACAUUAGAAAAAUAU